GGGUGAUGUUCAGCGGACACUCAUCCAGGUGGACUUCGGCGAUGGUAUCGCGGUGUCUUACGUCAAUCUCAGCUCCACGGAAGAUGGGAUCAAACACGUCUAUCAGAACGUGGGCAUUUUCCGUGUGACCGUGCAGGUGGACAACAGUCUGGGUUCUGACAGCGCCGUCCUGUACUUACAUGUAACUUGUCCCUUGGAGCAUGUGCACCUGUCUCUUCCCUUUGUCACCACAAAGAACAAAGAGGUCAAUGCGACAGCAGUGCUGUGGCCCAGCCAAGUGGGCACCCUCACUUAUGUGUGGUGGUACGGAAACAACACGGAGGUGGGUUCACCUUCCACAUGCGGUCUAGGGACAGAAGCUCAAUUCACACUGCCUGAAACAAAGAAGGGAAUGAAAUGGCUUAUGAACCUAAGAGUGUAGAAGCAGUUGUAGCUUCAAGGACAACAAGCUCCCUUGGCGCUCAAGUAUCUCAUCAUUAUGUUCUCUCUUUCUCUCUCUGGCCCCUCUCCACCUUCUGUGUUUCAUCUCUGCCUUCCUCUAUGUUUACGUUUUUCUCCAGCUGUACUUGUCUUUGUAGUGACUCUUAGCAGCCCUAGCUUAGCACAGAAAUUAAACUCUAUUUCCUGAAA
This 630-nucleotide small RNA is filed under the name Pongo abelii (Sumatran orangutan). RNAcentral's name for it is "retained intron". Lineage: Eukaryota; Metazoa; Chordata; Mammalia; Primates; Hominidae. The record is from RNAcentral.